CCUACGGGCGGCUGCAGUGAGGAAUAUUGGUCAAUGGACGAGAGUCUGAACCAGCCAAGUAGCGUGAAGGAUGACUGCCCUAUGGGUUGUAAACUUCUUUUAUAUGGGAAUAAAAUGGUCACCGUGUGGGAUUUUGUAUGUACCAUAUGAAUAAGGAUCGGCUAACUCCGUGCCAGCAGCCGCGGUAAUACGGAGGAUCCAAGCGUUAUCCGGAUUUAUUGGGUUUAAGGGGGGCGUAGGUGGAUUGUUAAGUCAGUGGGGAAAGUUUGCGGCUCAACCGGUAAAUUGCCGUUGAGACUGGCAGUCUUGAGUGCAGUAGAGGUGGGCGGAAUUCGUGGUGUAGCGGUGAAAUGCUUAGAUAUCACGAAGAACUCCGAUUGCGAAGGCAGCUCACUGGACUGCAACUGACACUGAGGCUCGAAAGUGUGGGUAUCAAACAGGAUUAGAUACCCUUGUAGUC
This 460-nucleotide ribosomal RNA is filed under the name uncultured bacterium. RNAcentral describes it as "partial 16S ribosomal RNA". It matches the Rfam family "Bacterial small subunit ribosomal RNA", at positions 338 to 795 of the family's 1533-position model. The record is from RNAcentral.